Molecule: ribosomal RNA, 253 nt
Filed under: uncultured bacterium
Lineage: Bacteria
Description: partial 16S ribosomal RNA
Rfam family: Bacterial small subunit ribosomal RNA
Source: RNAcentral
UACGUAGGGGGCUAGCGUUGUUCGGAAUUACUGGGCGUAAAGGGCGCGUAGGCGGUCCUGAUCGUCGGAUGUGAAAGCCCUGGGCUCAACCUGGGAACUGCAUCCGAUACGGCGGGACUGGAGUGUGGGAGAGGUUGGUGGAAUUCCCAGUGUAGAGGUGAAAUUCGUAGAUAUUGGGAAGAACACCGGUGGCGAAGGCGGCCAACUGGACCACAACUGACGCUGAGGCGCGAAAGCGUGGGGAGCAAACAGG